GGAAUGGAGACCCGGGGUAGGGCUGGUGGGUUUGGGAGGGGUCAGUGAUUGAGGGACAGGUCGUUGCACCCUACGUUGGCAAGGGAACAAGAUGUGUUGGAGGCGAGAACCAUGGGUUUCGCUUUUAACGUCGUCUCGGUGGCAUUCUGCCUAAAUGACGGACCCGGAAAUAGUGCUGAGUGAUGUGGGCUGAAUCGUGGGUCAAUCGAGAAAACAGGGACUCUUGUCUUGAGGGUUCUCAGAAGUUGAGAAGCUCUGGCUUGGAGUGCAUCUGAUAGAAGUUGUCAUGAAAAAAUAAUGAGAAGCCAAGAUCGAAAGCUUGCUCUUCUUUGAAGUUACCAAAUGUUAUCUGUGUGAAUGUGAAAACCAUUUUGUUUGGCUAAUUACCAACCUAGCUCAACAGCAACGACAACAGCAACCACAAAAGGAGGACGACGA
This is a non-coding RNA of Sus scrofa (pig), 438 nucleotides long. The record is from RefSeq and is a predicted model, not a curated record. Lineage: Eukaryota; Metazoa; Chordata; Mammalia; Artiodactyla; Suidae.